RNAcentral lists this ribosomal RNA (253 nucleotides) under uncultured bacterium. Its description in RNAcentral is "partial 16S ribosomal RNA". It matches the Rfam family "Bacterial small subunit ribosomal RNA", at positions 524 to 776 of the family's 1533-position model. The record is from RNAcentral.
GACGAACCGAGCGAACGUUGUUCGGAAUCACUGGGCUUAAAGGGCGCGUAGGCGGGCUGUCAAGUCCGGGGUGAAAUCUUUCGGCUUAACCGGAAAAGUGCCUUGGAUACUGACAGUCUCGAGGGAGGUAGGGGCAGCUGGAACUUCCGGUGGAGCGGUGAAAUGCGUUGAUAUCGGAAGGAACUCCGGUGGCGAAAGCGAGCUGCUGGACCUCUUCUGACGCUGAGGCGCGAAAGCUAGGGGAGCAAACGGG